GACGAACGCUGGCGGCGUGCUUAACACAUGCAAGUCGAACGGAAAGGCCCGGCUUUUGUGUGUUGCUCGAUUGGCGAACGGGUGAGUAACACGUGUGUAAACUGCCCUUGACUUUGGGAUAACUUCAGGAAACUGGGGCUAAUACCGGAUAGGAGCUUCUGCUGCAUGGUGGUGGUUGGAAAGUUUCGGCGGUUGGGGAUGGACUCGCGGCUUAUCAGCUUGUUGGUGGGGUAGUGGCUGACCAGGUCUUUGACGGGUAGCAGGCCUGAGAGGGUGACCGGCGUCAAUGGGACUGAGAGACGGCGCAGACUCCUAUGGGCGGCAGCGGUGGGGAACAUUGCACAGCGGGCGGGAGCGUGAUGCAGCGACGCCGCGUGCGGGAUGCCGGCCUUCGGGUUGUAAACCGAUUUCGACUGAGACGAAGCGUGCGUGACGGUAAUGGGUAAAGAAGCACCGGCUAACUACGUG
RNAcentral lists this ribosomal RNA (468 nucleotides) under uncultured bacterium. RNAcentral describes it as "partial 16S ribosomal RNA". It matches the Rfam family "Bacterial small subunit ribosomal RNA", at positions 28 to 507 of the family's 1533-position model. The record is from RNAcentral.